Molecule: long non-coding RNA, 476 nt
Organism: Manis javanica (Malayan pangolin)
Lineage: Eukaryota; Metazoa; Chordata; Mammalia; Pholidota; Manidae
Source: RefSeq, a predicted model, not a curated record
GAGGAUCUCUGCCACAUUUUCUGGUCUCUAGGUUUAGACAGAGCUUCUCUGCAUUUCUGCCUGACUCUUUUGACCAAAUUUUUGGCUCUGGCUACUGUGCCUGAAGGAUAAACUGGCCCUGCCUGCAGCUCGGCUUUACUACCAGGUAAUGCAAAAUACAAGGCUGCCAAGCAUAUGUUUCAAAAAGAGAUGCCAGGUAUCAGUGGAGGAAGACUUCAUGGAAGACUUGAGAGGGAGAUGGCACUCUAUCAGAGCCUUGGAGGGGGGAGGAAACAGAGUUUUGGAGCUCUUAAAUGGCAUACCUGGCCAAGGCUAAAUGAUGAGGCCCAAAUAAUUAUGCCAGUCAUUCAAGGUCUCACAAAUGAAGAAGCAGCAGAGUUGAGAUUCUAUUUCAAGCCUGACUCCUGAGCCCAUGAUCUUAACCAGCCCAUGGACCAGAUCCUCUGUACUGCCUGUUUUUAUAAAUAAAGUUUUAU